This 424-nucleotide ribosomal RNA is filed under the name uncultured bacterium. RNAcentral's name for it is "bacterial SSU rRNA". It matches the Rfam family "Bacterial small subunit ribosomal RNA", at positions 355 to 774 of the family's 1533-position model. The record is from RNAcentral.
UAGGGAAUAUUGCGCAAUGGGGGCAACCCUGACGCAGCGACGCCGCGUGAGUGAAGAAGGCCUUACAGGUUGUAAAGCUCUGUAAGGAGGGAAGAACCACAAGUGGUAACGCACUUGUCUGACGGUACCUCCAGAGUAAGGACCGGCUAAAUACGUGCCAGCAGCCGCGGUAAUACGUAUGGUCCGAGCGUUGUCCGGAAUCACUGGGCGUAAAGGGUGUGUAGGCGGAAUUUCAAGUCAGGUGUGAAAUCCCCCGGCUUAACCGGGGAAUUGCGCUUGAAACUGGAAUUCUAGAGCAUGUCAGGGGUGAGCGGAAUUCCCGGAGUAGCGGUGAAAUGCGUAGAUAUCGGGAAGAACACCGGUGGCGAAGGCGGCUCACUGGGGCAUGGCUGACGCUGAGGCACGAAAGCGUGGGGAGCGAACG